AUAUUUGCGCUUGGGGCAAUGACGCAGUUACUGAGGUGAAACCGAGACGCGUCAAUUGCUGGUUGAAAACUAUUUCCAAAUUACAGACCGGUAAUUCAGUUACUUCUCCUUGAGA
RNAcentral lists this small nuclear RNA (115 nucleotides) under Marchantia polymorpha subsp. ruderalis. Its description in RNAcentral is "U4 spliceosomal RNA". It matches the Rfam family "U4 spliceosomal RNA". Rfam says of the family: U4 small nuclear RNA (U4 snRNA) is a component of the major U2-dependent spliceosome. Lineage: Eukaryota; Viridiplantae; Streptophyta; Marchantiopsida; Marchantiales; Marchantiaceae. The record is from Rfam by way of RNAcentral.